Molecule: long non-coding RNA, 977 nt
Organism: Passer domesticus (house sparrow)
Lineage: Eukaryota; Metazoa; Chordata; Aves; Passeriformes; Passeridae
Exons: 3
Source: RefSeq, a predicted model, not a curated record
GGCAUGGAAGGAGGGCUUGGCUGCAAGGAAGGAAAAGCUGAAACAGUCAGGCAGGAAGCAAAGUCUGGCAGCUCAAAGUGUAGUUAAAACAUCAGCCUGCAAUGAUUUCUUACCUCACAAAUAUUUGACAUUGCUUCCCAGGAGGGCAGAUAUGAGAUAUCCUGUGUUGUUUCUGACGAGAGAGGAACUCUGUUCCUGGUUGAAUAAGCUGUGUUUACUUAGAGAGAGAGAAAAAAGAAACUUUUAAAGCCAAAGCUGUAAUUAAAUGUGCAGCAAUUCUGAGAGUAUUCAUACUGGUAAAUGUUAUUGACAUUUCCGUUCUGCUUUUUCCAGCGGAAACAAAUUAUUAAUACGCUAUUGUUCCAAUAAUGAGUUCUUGAUAGACAUAGAAUUUCUUUUUUAUUGUACUGCUUCAGCCCUGAAUCUGUUCUCACAACUGAAAAAUACAGAUAAUUUUGUUUUAGCAUCACUGGCAGUGACAGAUAGAGGAGCACAAUGUGAGAACACCAUGAAAUGUAUGGCAAAGCUGUUCUGGUACCAAGAAACACAAGGCACCUGUGCCAGCUGCCACCUUCCAGUCCCUGGAAUGGCAUGGGAUGAUCUGGGUAGUUGGUUAGAUUUGGAGUUCCAGUUGCUAACUUGGAGCUCCAGGAUCUACUGCCUCUCUGGUGCUUUGGUGUCUCAAGUAUUCUACAAGUAGUUACUACACCUGUCCCCUGAGCAAUUACAGGCUUGCUUUCUCCUUUACUUUAAGGUCCGUGUCCUUUGUUCUCCUGAUGUCGUGGGAAGCAAGAAAUAACAACACAAACUUGCCCUGACUUGAAACCCUUUGGGUUGAAGGCAAAUUGAAACCAUCUUUGUUCCACGAUGCCUUGGCUCCUUUGGAUGGACCAUCUCUUACUGUGUUUCUUUCCAUGUGCUUUGAAAGCCUUCCCCAGAGAUGCCAGAAUAUAUCAGAAAUAAUUACUAGUUUUAAA